GAUCAUGGCUCAGAUUGAACGCUGGCGGCAGGCUUAACACAUGCAAGUCGAACGGGGAAAGGUAGCUUGCUACCUGACCUAGCGGCGGACGGGUGAGUAAUGCUUAGGAAUCUGCCUAUUAGUGGGGGACAACAUCUCGAAAGGGAUGCUAAUACCGCAUACGUCCUACGGGAGAAAGCAGGGGACCUUCGGGCCUUGCGCUAAUAGAUGAGCCUAAGUCGGAUUAGCUAGUGGUGGGUAAGG
This 243-nucleotide ribosomal RNA is filed under the name uncultured bacterium. Its description in RNAcentral is "partial 16S ribosomal RNA". It matches the Rfam family "Bacterial small subunit ribosomal RNA", at positions 15 to 262 of the family's 1533-position model. The record is from RNAcentral.